Molecule: ribosomal RNA, 468 nt
Filed under: uncultured bacterium
Lineage: Bacteria
Description: partial 16S ribosomal RNA
Rfam family: Bacterial small subunit ribosomal RNA
Source: RNAcentral
GACGAACGCUGGCGGCGUGCUUAACACAUGCAAGUCGAACGGAAAGGCCCUGCUUUUGUGGGGUGCUCGAGUGGCGAACGGGUGAGUAACACGUGAGUAACCUGCCCUUGACUUUGGGAUAACUUCAGGAAACUGGGGCUAAUACCGGAUAGGAGCUCCUGCUGCAUGGUGGGGGUUGGAAAGUUUCGGCGGUUGGGGAUGGACUCGCGGCUUAUCAGCUUGUUUGUGGGGUAGUGGCUUACCAAGGCUUUGACGGGUAGCCGGCCUGAGAGGGUUACCGGCCACAUUGGGACUGCGAUAAGGCCCAGAAUCCUACGGGAGGCAGCAGUGGGGAAUAUUGCACAAUGGGCGGAAGCCUGAUGCAGCAACGCCGCGUGCGGGAUGACGGCCUUCGGGUUGUAAACCGCUUUCGCCUGUGACGAAGCGUGAGUGACGGUAAUGGGUAAAGAAGCACCGGCUAACUACGUG